GUCCUUCGCGACAUCUGUUAAAAGUGGAACGAUACAGAGAAGCUUAGCAUGCACCCCUGCGCAAGGAUGAUGAUGACAUAAAUAGGCACACAUCGAGAUAUC
This is a small nuclear RNA of Coccomyxa subellipsoidea C-169, 102 nucleotides long. NCBI's taxonomy places the organism in Eukaryota, Viridiplantae, Chlorophyta, Trebouxiophyceae, Coccomyxaceae. The record is from Rfam.